Long non-coding RNA from Schistocerca cancellata (South American locust), 643 nucleotides. RefSeq lists it as uncharacterized. The record is from RefSeq and is a predicted model, not a curated record. The transcript has 3 exons. Lineage: Eukaryota; Metazoa; Arthropoda; Insecta; Orthoptera; Acrididae.
CGCAUACUUAUCUUUCUACACACCUUGCAGAUUAUGGCUUAUCCUCAUAAAACCAGUUCAGCUACUUUUAACAUUUACCACUCACCGAUUUCUUGUAUGAAAGUGGAACAAAUUAAAUCAUUUCCCUCGUCGCGUGAAGGUUCUGUGCUGCUAUCUACAUGUUACCGAGUGAACCGAACAUGCAUAUCCCUUCGCUCAGAUCUCUGGAAUACACUGCAUGUGGUACUGUGUAGCAGUUCGUAUUCGAAGCGCGCUGUUUGAAUCGACUUGGUAACAAAUUUGGAAGGUCAUUGUACCAGCUCUUAUAUUCAGAGUAAAUUGAGCCACAUAUCAGAAAAUGGGCUCUAAUCAAAUAGCUUCAGAAGAAAUAGUUCCGAACAGUAACAGUCAAAAAGCAACAUAAACUACCGACAAUAAAACAGCUGCCCAAGUUUGCAUACAAAAAAUAUCUACAUAGAUAGUUCGCAGACCAUUAUGAGGUACAUGGCACAGGGUACAUCUCAUUGCAACAUUUAUCGGACAUGCUUUACAAUCCACUCGCAUAUGGAACGCUGGAAAAAUGAUUGCUAAAAUGCCCGUGUGCACCCUGUAAUUGACCUAAUCAUGACUUCACACUCUCUAUUGGAGUAAUAUGUAGGGGACU